Molecule: ribosomal RNA, 253 nt
Filed under: uncultured bacterium
Lineage: Bacteria
Description: partial 16S ribosomal RNA
Rfam family: Bacterial small subunit ribosomal RNA
Source: RNAcentral
GACAGAGGGUGCAAACGUUGCUCGGAAUCACUGGGCGUAAAGGGCGUGUAGGCGGGAAGGAUAGUCAGAUGUGAAAGCCCUGGGCUCAACCCAGGAACUGCAUUUGAAACUCCCUUUCUUGAGUGUCGGAGAGGAAAGCGGAAUUCCUGGUGUAGAGGUGAAAUUCGUAGAUAUCAGGAGGAACACCGGUGGCGAAGGCGGCUUUCUGGACGACAACUGACGCUGAGACACGAAAGCGUGGGGAGCAAACAGG